Panicum virgatum (switchgrass) is the source of this 1518-nucleotide long non-coding RNA. RefSeq lists it as uncharacterized. The transcript is spliced from 4 exons. Lineage: Eukaryota; Viridiplantae; Streptophyta; Magnoliopsida; Poales; Poaceae. The record is from RefSeq and is a predicted model, not a curated record.
AAAAGAUCGUGGGUCAAUCCUAAUCUCGAUCCUGAUUUUUUCUUCUGCCGUUCUGUUGCUCCCACCGUCCGCCGGCCAUCCUCCCACACCGCCACCCCUCGCUGUUUUCUGUCGACAACUCAGCCCAAAUCGACCUCAUGCCGGAUGCCGCCGCGGCCCCUGCAUCACCGGCUUCUGUCGCACCAUCACUGGCGGCGGCAGACAGGCUGAGCCAGCCCACGCGCAUGCCUGGCCGCGCUGGGCGUUGCUGCCGGGGACAGGAAGACUCACACGUGACCACGGCGUCCGCGACAGCGGCGGCGAACGUCGGCUAUCUCCACGGCCGUAGUCGUGGACGAGGAGGAAGCGCCGGAGUCAUCGACGGAUGGGGAUGGCGGUGUGGGCUCGGCGAGUUCGUCCUCGGUAGGAGCAGCUUCCUAUCCCUUCCCUUUGCCGUGGAUUUCUUCAGUUUAAUGAGAGCUCUGAUUCUUCCCCUGCGCAAGGAUGUUUCCUGGUCAGAGGUUGGUGAAUUCGAGGUUGGUCCAUACGAUGACUACCAAUCCAAGAAGGGCAACAAUGUGCCUCUCUCCACUCGCUGACUAGCCACCUCAGAGAAGAUGCGCAGGUCUGCCGAAGUAAGAACACUGCGAAGCAUUCUACUAGACUCAACAUCAGGUGCUUCUCCCUUGUGUGGUUUUCACAAUUCAAUUGCUCAGUCCUCGAAGCUCUAGGUCUUGGUCCACUGCUCACAAUGGUGACUCAUGCAAUAGAGAGCAGGGACCUCCUUUGGUUCAUUGAUAAGAUAUGUUUCAGUCCUUGGCCCCAGUAAGGUCCUGACGAUACUCCCCAAAUAAUCAACAUGGUUCUUGGAUUGCCACAUGUAUAGCUAGUUCUGGGUAGCUUUGCCGUGGGCUGAUCUGUAUAGCUAGUUCAGCUAGCUAUUUUUUUAUUGAUUACCAGUUCAGUUAGUGAUUUAAUUCCUGCUCCUAAAUACCUUGGUGUUUGUGCAAUAGCUAGUGAUUUUCUUAAAAAUGUUCAUUCAAAUAAUUUUUAGGAAGUAAAUCUACAAGUAUGACGCUAGCAUAUUCAAUUGUUUUUUUUUUGCACGAUGUGAGGUGGACACAAUGAUCUCCAUUGAAAGCGCCAUCUUUGAGGGGACCCCAUCAUCACAAUUAGGAGCCUGUGUGGCACUGGUUCGGCCAGCUACAGUGGCUAGAGCUAAAGCCAGCGGAGCCUGGCCAAAUGGGGUCUAGGUGUUUAGGGAUGAUUCAACUUUGAUUCCCCUGUUCAGCACUCAAUGAAUUUUCUGCCGAGCAUCCAUGGUACAGUAGAUAGAUUGUGAGUUUCAUGUGAGGAUGGUAUAUUUAAAACCUCUCUGUAUAGAUUCUUAUGAAAAUGUAAGUUUGGAUUGGCAGAUGAUAGAAAUAGUGAUUCCAAUAUGGCUUCAUCUUGUGUGCUUAUGGUAUUUAUGAACCGGCUCAGAAAAAAUGUAUGGUUUGUUUAAGAUAAUAAGAUUUUUUGCAUCAAUAUGUUUUGUUA